This 406-nucleotide transfer-messenger RNA is filed under the name Candidatus Moraniibacteriota bacterium. It matches the Rfam family "transfer-messenger RNA". From Rfam's summary of the family: Bacterial tmRNA, also known as 10Sa RNA or SsrA, is named for its dual tRNA and mRNA-like properties. Its role is to liberate the mRNA from a stalled ribosome. To accomplish this part of the tmRNA is used as a reading frame that ends in a translation stop signal. The record is from RNAcentral. Lineage: Bacteria; Candidatus Moraniibacteriota.
GGGGAUGUUCGGCUUUGACAAGUUGUACAUUUAAAAUAAGCAAGCCGAGUAUGAUAAUAACUCGUAAAACUUUUAUCCAAGUUAUAAAUGCAAACUUUAUAGCUAAAGCAAAAAGUGGGUUAGCGAAAGCUUUCACCCCUAAAUUUGCUUACGCUCUUGCUUAAUCGCCUAACGGCAAAGCAUCAGCCAUCAGACUGCUAACUCCUGAUAGGCAGAUUCUGGUGUUAUAUUUCAGGAUAGCGGGUAUUGCGUUUUCCAAGUAAUACCAGUAAAAUUAAAUUGGGAAUAGAUUAAGAUAAUUUUGUUUAUUUCAUAUUCUUAGUUGAAGAUUAUAAAUAAACUAAACUUGUAGAAUAUUUUAAAUCAACAAUUUUGGACAUGGGUUCGAUUCCCAUCAUCUCCACCA